RNAcentral lists this long non-coding RNA (767 nucleotides) under Leptinotarsa decemlineata (Colorado potato beetle). RNAcentral's name for it is "uncharacterized LOC111505887, transcript variant X2". Lineage: Eukaryota; Metazoa; Arthropoda; Insecta; Coleoptera; Chrysomelidae. The record is from RNAcentral.
ACUGUGACAUAACCUUGAAUUUUUGUUAUUAACCUUAUAUCAACACAAAAUAUGUGUUACUACCAGGUUUUUUCAAUGAAAAUGACUACAAAUUGAUAAUUAUAGGUAUUUGAGAACAGAGGAGUGUUAAUGAUUAGUCCUUACCAUUACAAUGGAAAAUUCAAAAAGCAAUAUUCUUAUAAUAGAGCUGUUAAUGAAGCUGAAAAAAUUGUAGGAUAUCCAACAUCAUUUUUGAGGUUGAGAUGGCUGUUAAAUGAUGAACUUGUCAAUGUGGCUUUGCACAUGAGAAAACUCAUAGGAACCAAUCAUCCAUUGGAACACUGCCAAAGAACUGAUUUUGAAUAAACAAACUCCAGCAUGGGGUCUUAUAGUAUUAUUGAUUUCCAAAGCAGGGGGACUGAGUAGAGAAUUCCUCCAUGUGGAAUGUGACAUCACAGCAGGAGUACGUGACAAGGGGGCUCGAGGUUUGGGGCGGAGUUCCAAGGAGGCCCGAGGGGUGAGGCGGAGUACUAAUGGGCCCGAGUUGUGGGGCGGUGUCCCAAGGGAGCCCACGCUCUUUGAAUCCCUCCAAUACUGAUUCCAUCCUUCUUUGCAUCGCUUACGUCACACGUUUCUUUUCUCCACUCACGUUUGUCAUGAAAAUUGUAAAAAGUUUAGCUCCAUAAUACAUGGGAUUUUGAGCCAGGACCAAGCAUGCUCAUCUACUCAGUUGGCAUAUUGUUUUAGUUACUAUAAUUUUAAAGUAAAAAUAUAAAUUACUAGCUGUU